CCUACGGGAGGCAGCAGUGAGGAAUAUUGGUCAAUGGGCGCGAGCCUGAACCAGCCAAGUAGCGUGAAGGAUGACUGCCCUACGGGUUGUAAACUUCUUUUAUAAAGGAAUAAAGUGAGGCACGUGUGCCUUUUUGUAUGUACUUUAUGAAUAAGGAUCGGCUAACUCCGUGCCAGCAGCCGCGGUAAUACGGAGGAUCCGAGCGUUAUCCGGAUUUAUUGGGUUUAAAGGGAGCGUAGAUGGGUUGUUAAGUCAGUUGUGAAAGUUUGCGGCUAAACCGUAAAAUUGCAAUGGAUACUGGUAGUCUGGAGUAUAGUUGAGGUAGGAGGAAUGCGUGGUGUAGCGGUGAAAUGAUAAGAUAUAACGAAGAACACCGAUUGAGAAGGCAGCUUAAUAAACUGCCACUGACAUUGAUGCUCGAAAGUGGGGGUAUCAAACAGGAUUAGAUACCCCAGGAGUC
Molecule: ribosomal RNA, 460 nt
Filed under: uncultured bacterium
Lineage: Bacteria
Description: partial 16S ribosomal RNA
Rfam family: Bacterial small subunit ribosomal RNA
Source: RNAcentral